UUAGUUUGCUUGCAAACCAAAGCUGGCGAGCGGCGCACGGGUGAGUAACACGUAUCCAACCUACCUCAUACUCGGGGAUAGCCUUUCGAAAGAAAGAUUAAUAUCCGAUAGCAUAUAUUUCCCGCAUGGGUUUUAUAUUAAAGAAAUUCGGUAUGAGAUGGGGAUGCGUUCCAUUAGUUUGUUGGGGGGGUAACGGCCCACCAAGACUACGAUGGAUAGGGGUUCUGAGAGGAAGGUCCCCCACAUUGGAACUGAGACACGGUCCAAACUCCUACGGGAGGCAGCAGUGAGGAAUAUUGGUCAAUGGACGCGAGUCUGAACCAGCCAAGUAGCGUGAAGGAUGACUGCCCUAUGGGUUGUAAACUUCUUUUAUAUGGGAAUAAAGUGGUCCACGUGUGGACUUUUGUAUGUACCAUAUGAAUAAGGAUCGGCUAACUCCGUGCCAGCAGCCGCGGUAAUACGGAGGAUCCGAGCGUUAUCCGGAUUUAUUGGGUUUAAAGGGAGCGUAGGCGGAUUGUUAAGUCAGUUGUGAAAGUUUGCGGCUCAACCGUAAAAUUGCAGUUGAUACUGGCAGUCUUGAGUGCAGUAGAGGUGGGCGGAAUUCGUGGUGUAGCGGUGAAAUGCUUAGAUAUCACGAAGAACUCCGAUUGCGAAGGCAGCUCACUGGAGUGUAACUGACGCUGAUG
This 686-nucleotide ribosomal RNA is filed under the name uncultured Bacteroidales bacterium. RNAcentral's name for it is "bacterial SSU rRNA". It matches the Rfam family "Bacterial small subunit ribosomal RNA", at positions 71 to 751 of the family's 1533-position model. The record is from RNAcentral. Lineage: Bacteria; Pseudomonadati; Bacteroidota; Bacteroidia; Bacteroidales.